This 497-nucleotide ribosomal RNA is filed under the name uncultured bacterium. RNAcentral describes it as "partial 16S ribosomal RNA". It matches the Rfam family "Bacterial small subunit ribosomal RNA", at positions 28 to 507 of the family's 1533-position model. The record is from RNAcentral.
GAUGAACGCUGGCGGCGUGCCUAAUACAUGCAAGUCGAGCGAACGGACGAGAAGCUUGCUUCUCUGAUGUUAGCGGCGGACGGGUGAGUAACACGUGGAUAACCUACCUAUAAGACUGGGAUAACUUCGGGAAACCGGUGCUAAUACCGGAUGAUAUUUUGAACCGCAUGGUUCAAAAGUGAAAGACGGUCUUGCUGUCACUUAUAGAUGGAUCCGCGCUGCAUUAGCUAGUUGGUAAGGUAACGGCUUACCAAGGCAACGAUGCAUAGCCGACCUGAGAGGGUGAACGGCCACACUGGAACUGAGACACGGUCCAGACUCCGACGGGAGGCAGCGGUAGGGAAUCUUCCGCAAUGGGCGAAAGCCUGACGGAGCAACGCAGCGUGAGUGAUGAAGGUCUUCGGAUCGUAAAACUCUGUUAUUAGGGAAGAACAUAUGUGGAAGUAACUGUGCACAUCGUGACGGUACCUAAUCAGAAAGCCACGGCUAACUACGUG